This 299-nucleotide long non-coding RNA is filed under the name Elaeis guineensis (African oil palm). RNAcentral's name for it is "long non-coding RNA (EGUI_LNC016426)". Lineage: Eukaryota; Viridiplantae; Streptophyta; Magnoliopsida; Arecales; Arecaceae. The record is from RNAcentral.
GGUUGACAUCAACAGCAGCACUGAGCAUGCGUUUCAUGACAGGCUCGGCAAGUUCGGAUGUUAUACUUGGGGUGGGUGGCAUGCUUUUGUUCCCCCUAGAGGUUUAGGUUCAGACUUUUUCUCCUGCAUAUUAAUAUGGAAGGAAGGUACGUUGUAUGGUAGGAAAGAAAAUUUUCCAAAAAGUGUGUUCGCAGUGGUGCUUUGGGCCACUCAGGCCCUUUGAAGAUUUUCACAUUUUGAUGCUGUAUUCUUUUUCAUUUUUAAGCUUAAUUUGUCUGCUUCACCCCUUUUGGAGAAGA